UACGGGGGGAGCAAGCGUUGUUCGGAUUUACUGGGCGUAAAGGGCGCGUAGGCGGCCACCGCAAGUCGGCUGUGAAAUCUCCGGGCUUAACUCGGAAAGGUCAGCCGAUACUGCGGGGCUAGAGUGCAGAAGGGGCAACUGGAAUUCUCGGUGUAGCGGUGAAAUGCGUAGAUAUCGAGAGGAACACCUGCGGCGAAGGCGGGUUGCUGGGCUGACACUGACGCCGAAGCGCGAAAGCUAGGGGAGCGAACGGG
This 254-nucleotide ribosomal RNA is filed under the name uncultured bacterium. RNAcentral describes it as "partial 16S ribosomal RNA". It matches the Rfam family "Bacterial small subunit ribosomal RNA", at positions 524 to 776 of the family's 1533-position model. The record is from RNAcentral.